Molecule: ribosomal RNA, 234 nt
Filed under: uncultured bacterium
Lineage: Bacteria
Description: partial 16S ribosomal RNA
Rfam family: Bacterial small subunit ribosomal RNA
Source: RNAcentral
ACGGCUGAGUAACGCGUGGGUGACGUACCUGUUGGUGGGGAAUAACUGCCCGAAAGGGUGGCUAAUUCCGCAUAAGUCCUUCGGUUCAAUCUGAAGGGGAAAGCUUCGUAAGAGGCGCCGAUGGAGCGGCCCGCGUCCGAUUAGCUUGUUGGUGGGGUAACGGCCUACCAAGGCGACGAUCGGUAGCUGGUCUUAGAGGAUGAUCAGCCAGACUGGGACUGAGACACGGCCCAG